This 403-nucleotide unclassified non-coding RNA is filed under the name soil metagenome. RNAcentral's name for it is "partial contains 5.8S ribosomal RNA, internal transcribed spacer 2, and large subunit ribosomal RNA". The stretch from base 1 to 120 matches the Rfam family "5.8S ribosomal RNA", at positions 35 to 154 of the family's 154-position model. The record is from RNAcentral.
GAUGAAGAACGCAGCGAAAUGCGAUAAGUAAUGUGAAUUGCAGAAUUCAGUGAAUCAUCGAAUCUUUGAACGCACCUUGCGCCCUUUGGCAUUCCGAAGGGCAUGCCUGUUUGAGUAUCAUGAACACCUCAACUCUUCAUGGUUUUCCAUGAUGAGCUUGGACUUUGGGGGUCUUGCUGGCCUGCGGUCGGCUCCUCUCAAAUGAAUCAGCUUACCAGUGUUUGGUGGGCAUCACAGGUGUGAUAACUAUCUGCGCUUGUGGUUUUCCACCAAGUAACCUUCAGCAGUGGAGGUUCACUGGAGCUCACAGACGUCUCUACUCAGUGAGGACAGCCCUUUGAAUGUUUGAUCUCAAAUCAGGUAGGACUACCCGCUGAACUUAAGCAUAUCAAUAAGCGGAGGA